Molecule: long non-coding RNA, 603 nt
Filed under: Capsicum annuum
Lineage: Eukaryota; Viridiplantae; Streptophyta; Magnoliopsida; Solanales; Solanaceae
Description: long non-coding RNA (CANN_LNC016489)
Source: RNAcentral
AAUAAACAACCUUAUAUUAGUAAACAACCUUAUAACCUUAACGGCCACCGUUUAACCUUAUAACCUUAUAUUAUUAAACAUCCUUAUAACCUUAAUGACCACCGUUUAACCUUAUAACCAGCGUUAAGUAAACGACCUUAUAUUAGUAAACAACCUUAUAACCUUAGCGACCACCAUUUAACCUUAUAACCUUAUAUUAGUGAACAUCCUUAUAACCUUAACGGCCACCGUUUAACCUUAGAACCUUGUAUUAGUAAACAACCUUAUAACCGUAACGGCCACCGUUUAACCUAAUAACCUUAUAACGUUAUAACCUUAACGGUCACCAUUUAAACUUAUAACCUUAUAACCUUAAAGGCCAAUGUUUAACAGUAUAACCACCGUUAAGUAAACAAACUUAUAUUAGUAAAAAAUCUUAUAACCUUAACGACCACCGUUUAACCUAUAACCUUAUAUUAGUAAACAGUCGUAUAACCUUACCGGCCACCGUUUAACCUUAUAACCUUAGAGACCACCGUUAAACCUUAUAACCACCGUUAAGUAAACAACCUUAUAACCUUAACAGCCACCGCUUAACCUUAUAACCUUAUAUUAGUAAACAAC